RNAcentral lists this ribosomal RNA (422 nucleotides) under uncultured bacterium. Its description in RNAcentral is "bacterial SSU rRNA". It matches the Rfam family "Bacterial small subunit ribosomal RNA", at positions 358 to 772 of the family's 1533-position model. The record is from RNAcentral.
GGAAUUUUGGACAAUGGGCGCAAGCCUGAUCCAGCCAUGCCGCGUGCGGGAAGAAGGCCUUCGGGUUGUAAACCGCUUUUGUCAGGGAAGAAAAGCUUCGGGCUAAUACCUCGGAGUCAUGACGGUACCUGCAGAAUAAGCAGCGGCUCACUACGUGCCCGCAGCCGCGGUAAGACGUAGGGUGCAAGCGUUAAUCGGAAUUACUGGGCGUCAAGCGUGCGCAGGCGGUCAUGCAAGACAGAUGUGAAAUCCCCGGGCUCAACCUGGGAACUGCAUUUGUGACUGCAUGGCUAGAGUGCGGCAGAGGGGGAUGGAAUUCCGCGUGUAGCAGUGAAAUGCGUAGAUACGCGGAGGAACACCGAUGGCGAAGGCAAUCCCCUGGGCCUGCACUGACGCUCAUGCACGAAAGCGUGGGGAGCAAA